UCCAAUCAUUAGUGCUAAGCGCAUUUUCGGAUCUUCCUCCUGAGCUUGGGCAUCUGAUAAUAGAAGAAUAUUUAAGAGAUACUGAGGACCUGGCAGAAGAUCGGGAUCAAUUGCAGGAAAUGAUGGGGGAUUUAAUCUUUGUUAUUCCUGCCCUCAAACUGGCCAAAUAUCAAUAUGAUGGCUCAGAAGGACCAAUAUGGGUCCCCAAACGGAACAUCCGGACCUGUGCUCGAAGUGACCCAGAAACUUCAGACACUCGGAUUGCAGAACAAGCGCAGAGAUAAAAGAACUAGAAGGGAGCACCCGAGACAACGGAGGAGGACAACAAAGACAUUAUUACAAAUGAUGCUGCUGCUGCAGUUGACCUCUCUGGAGGCAAAAGACUGUGCAGCUUUGGACAUAUGUUAAUAAUCCUCCGUGGUCUAGAUUACUUACUUGGGAAGAUAAAGGGACUGGCAUUGUGCCUAUAGGACAAGCAGCAGAAUUUUUGGAAAAGGAGAGUUAUGUUUGCAUUGCUUACUAUCUUGCAGGGAUUAAAGGAAUGGUAGAUGUUACAGGAUACAUUGUGUUAACAGGGAAAAUGUUACCUAUUAUGCACUAGCAUCUCCUAUGGGGGUGGUAUGGAAUAUAUCUAUGUCUAUUGAAUCUAUUGGAGAUGAAUUUAGAUCCAUGUAAUUCUGGUGUUGUUGGAUGGAAAAUCAUUUGGAAGGUGCUUUUGCUUCUGAUUUGACAUUACUCAUGAUAUUGCUAACAGUCAUUUUCCAUAUACCAAAACAUUGGCUUGGAAUGUGUCAUUGGCAUAGUGUUGAAUUUAUUGGAGAUCUUUGAUUCUGAUUUGUCUUUUGCUAAAAAUCCAUUUCCAAGGGACUCAACCCCAGAACCUAGCUCGAGAAAUUUUGGAAAAUUGGGCAAAACCCAUAUAUUUGAAAAUGUACCUGCUUUACUGUUUCAUCUGUUUACAUGGGCAAUAUUGCCUGUUAUAUUAUCUACGGCAAUGGGUAAAUCAUGGUUCAAGUUUUCAGGUACAGAUGUUCAUCAUCUCAAGUCAAUUGCAAAAACAAAAGGAGGGAAUUGUUGAGGGCCAGAUCUGAAGAGUCUAAUAUGGGAUAAUGAAUUUAGGUCAGAGUUCUCUUUCCUUUUCCGACCCUUAAGGGCUUAUUUACUCAGAAUAUUUGGCUCACCAAUUUCCUGUGCCUGGGUGGUGUUAGAACACUCUGACCAAUCCUUGAAUCUUGCUAAUAAGCAGGUGUAUACAAUUAAAGUUGAGCAUAAGGGCUGGGGUUAGUCACAUGAGAAUCCUGGCAAUGCCUCAGGGGUGAUUGUUACCUUUCACUAUUUAAACUGGAUUUUCAGAAUAAUAAACAUCUCAGUCUGUCACUGACCUGCCUGGCCCACAUUUCUUCAUUUCACACUCCUCCAUGAGGUGCAACACCCCUGACUGAAAUUUGUUCAGAAAAAAAAAAUAGUUCAUUCAACUUAGAGGUAAGGUCUAGUGAACAAUAUUAGCCCUUCUCCAAGUUCAUGGCCAGGGCUGGGGGAUGGCAUUCCUUUGGCAGACUCACCGUACACAUGGACACCUUGAAAGGAAUAUAAAAAGAUGAACAACUCUCUUGGCCCUCGCCAUCACUCUCAAGUCUCAGUGACUUCUCUUCCCCAUGGGGAACCAUUAGGACAGGUGGUAGUGGGAAGAAUCCAAUACUGGAUUUGAAGUCCAAUAUUGUUGUGCUUGAUUCCUUGUGACCCCAGCUGGAGUUUUCUUGGCAAAUAAAUUGGAGUGGUUUCCC
Molecule: non-coding RNA, 1784 nt
Organism: Phascolarctos cinereus (koala)
Lineage: Eukaryota; Metazoa; Chordata; Mammalia; Diprotodontia; Phascolarctidae
Source: RefSeq, a predicted model, not a curated record